This 1057-nucleotide unclassified non-coding RNA is filed under the name Hevea brasiliensis (rubber tree). Lineage: Eukaryota; Viridiplantae; Streptophyta; Magnoliopsida; Malpighiales; Euphorbiaceae. The record is from RNAcentral.
AGUUAGUGCCAAAACAUGAGUUUCCUGGUGCUAGUUAUUUUCCAUUCAAAUUUGAUUGUUGCAUGCCGUGGAUUUCCUGCAAAUAAAAUAAUAUCUUUUUUUCCCACCUUUAUAAUUUGUGGACAAAAUUGUUUUGCAUUAUAUUUGAUCACAUCUUAAUUAUAACUUAUUGUUGUAUUGAAUUUGGAUGCAUAUUUGUUGUCAAAUGACAUGGUUUAUUUUGAAAGCAUGGUAAUUUAAUUUAUCUUGUUGGGUUGUUAAUGCAAUUAAAAUUUGGUGUUUUGUGUUUCUUAGUCACACUGUAAGUAGUGUUGUUACUAAAGAUCUUAAUCAUGGGAGAAAAAUAUGUGCAACUGUGAUAAUUGCAAUCACCAUUUUGACUUAAUGCAUCAGUUUAAUUCCAAAAGUGGGGUGAAAGGCAGUUUGACACUUUGACUCCCUUUCCCCAGUAACCAGGAAGGGAACAUAUGAAAAAAGCAUUUUUGAUAAUCAGGUGAAACCACGAUAAAAAAUGGGGCUUAAAUUACUUGUGCUUGGACCAAGUGAACUCUGUGUACAUGUCCGUUCAUAAUUCUUUUUCUGAACUUGACUUCAGAAGUGUAAUUUUUGUACCAAUGAUGCAAUUCGUGGCUUGUUCACCACUUGUUUAUUUGUAUUUGCUUCUUGAUGCUAGAAUCAAUAUUGCUGGUGAAACAUGCAUGUUAGGAUUAGUUCGGCAUGUGUAGCACCUAGCUGCCUACAUUAUUAUUUGAAUGAUCAGAUAUUAAUUGCAUUGAAGACCUUGUCUGUUAGCCUAGGUGGUUGAUUUAUUGGCUUGAUGGAUUGAAAACCUUGCUAUUUUAGUGUAUCUGGAUGGUCUUAAGGCAAAAGGCCAGCAUUUUAUGGUUCCCUUUUCAUUUCCACAAUUAAUUCUCCCUUCUUCUUCCUUGCAUUUGUGAUUCUUUAGUUGAAACUUUAUGGAAUCCUAUAUUGAAUUGGGCUUUUGAUAAAUUUAAUGUUGAAGUGCCAUGCAAUGUUGGCCAUUUUCUUGAUGGGUUCUCUCUCUCUCUCUCUCUCU